CGCAGAGGCAUCGGCGGCGGCGGCGGAGACGGAGAGAGGCAGGCAGGCAGGGCGAGGGCGAGAGACGGAGGGAGGGAGCGAGCGAGGCGGACCAGACAGACAGACAGGCGGGCGGGCGGGCAGAGCGAGCCACCCGCCAGGCUGCGCUCAGCCCCGCUCGCAGCGGAGAGAGCAGAAGGCAGGAGGAGGGAGGGGAGGAGGGGGAGGGAGGGAGAGAGGGAAUCCAGCUACCACCACCCAAAGCCAGCGUCUGCUUUCUGUCCUCAUUUCCUUUUCCCACCCAGCUUGGAGAGCAGAGAAAGGCAGAGAGAGCGAGAAAUAGAGACAGUCUGAGAGACAGACAGACAGCCAGAGAGAGCGGGAGGGAGGAGGGCGGAGGAGGAGGAGCAGGAGGACUACGCGGGGCGCGUUCCCUCCCAGCAGCCGGGCGCCCGCGUCGCUGCCACCGCCGGAAGACAGACGCCCCCUAAAACCCCUCGCUUGGCUCGGACCCACGGAGCCGGCAGCCCAGCACUCCGAUGGGAGCUUGCCUGAUUGUCAAGCCAUCGGCCUGGACCCCAGAGCCUACCCAGCUGAGCAUGUGCAGAGGGCCCCGAGUGCGGGGCAACGCUCAGGCCAUUACAGAGACCACCCUGGAGAUGCUGAUGAAGACAGGCCUUUCCUGCUGAGCCGGGCCUGUCUGCACAGCCUGCUCAGGCGCUGUCCACGCCCCGAGGCCUGGGCUCAGGCCGAAGUUGCUCCACAGCACCCCCAGCUGACAGCCAGCGACUGGCAGAGCCCCCAGGCACGGGGGCCCUCUCUCUUCCAGGUCAGCCGGGUGUCUGCGCUGGAUGGAGCGCUGAGGGAGCCGGGGGUGGUACCUGGAGGAGGCCGGGCCGGUGGGCAGGGGUUGAGCUGUGGCCACUAGACCAUUUGGGGAAUUCAAAUCUAUUUCCUGUCUUAUUGCCCACAGAGAUCUCCAGUGUGACAGCCCAGGCGGCAGAGCCGAGGGUAAGUGGUGGGGGUUCUCCUGGAGCCCUUUGGGGGUAAGAAGCAGGAAGGCUGUGCCCUUGUUAGAGCUUCCUGGCCUUCUCCUUAAGUUUGAUCACCCUGCUGAUGUGCUUCCCUCUCAGAGGCAGGGGUCCUGUUCUUCCUGAGCACAUAGCCAGAUUUCCAAAGGGGAUGAGCUGUCAAUAAGUGAAGCUGGGCCAGGCAUGGUGGCUCACGCCUGUAAUCCCAGUAAUUUGGGAGGCCAAGGCGAGUGGAUCAUCUGUGGUCAGGAGCUCAAGACCAGCCUGGCCAACAUGGUGAAACCCCGACUCUACUAAAAUACAAAAAUUAGCCAGGCGUGGUGGCGCGUGCCUGUAAUCCCAGGUACUUGGGAGGCUGACACCUAAGAAUCACUUGCACUAGGAGGCAGAGGUUGCAGUGAGCUGAGAUCACACUACUUCACUCUAGCCUGGGUGACAGAGUGAGACUCUCUUUCAAAAAAAAAAAAAAAGUGAAACUGGGGCCCAUGAGGGGCUUGCUGUACAUAUGGUGGUUUGAGAAAGGCUGGGAGUCAGCAAGGGGAUUGGGCUUGGGGUGGGGAUGGGAGCUUGGUAAGGAGAUGAGACCUCAGGAGGGAGGGGUCCAGGAGCUCAUCGAGGAUAUGGGAAGCUGAUGAGGAUGUAGGUGUUCAGUAAGGGACCUCCUGCUCUUCCUGCCUGGCAGGUCCUGGUCCCGGCUUCUCGCACCCUCAUGUCAGCCCCGGCCCCGCCCGGCGGCCUGCGGAGGACAAGGUCAGGAUGCGUGUGAAGCCCCAGGGCCUGGUGGUGACUUCCAGUGCCGUGUGCAGCUCUCCUGACUACCUCCGGGAGCCCAAGUACUACCCCGGCG
Long non-coding RNA from Macaca nemestrina (pig-tailed macaque), 1857 nucleotides. The record is from Ensembl. Lineage: Eukaryota; Metazoa; Chordata; Mammalia; Primates; Cercopithecidae.